This is a long non-coding RNA of Salvelinus sp. IW2-2015, 392 nucleotides long. RefSeq lists it as uncharacterized. Lineage: Eukaryota; Metazoa; Chordata; Actinopteri; Salmoniformes; Salmonidae. The record is from RefSeq and is a predicted model, not a curated record.
GGGCCUUCAGAACCAGUUGUCUCGGCAUGGUUGUCUGAAGACCCUCCAGGACCAAGAGGACUUCUGUUUCACGGUUAACCACCACAACCGUGGUCCAGUCCAGCUGCAGAGAACACUACAGGAGAUCAGGAAGAGGAUGAUUGGCAGCCGCUCCACACCUGAUGUGAUGUCAGCGGGAUGGGGUUGGAGCCAGCAGGAGAUGUUAGUAAAGCCCCCUAGAAUUCACGUCACCACCGCGGAGAGAAGACACCUGGACCGGAUUGUCCCUUCAGAGACAGGAAGAAGGCUUAUGCCGGGAGAGAGACUUCCAGAAAGAGGGUCUGGGGAGAAACUUCCAGAAAGAGGGUCUGGAGAGAGACUUCCAGAAAGAGGGUCUGGAGAGAGACUUCCAG